RNAcentral lists this long non-coding RNA (1637 nucleotides) under Schizosaccharomyces pombe (fission yeast). The record is from RNAcentral. Lineage: Eukaryota; Fungi; Ascomycota; Schizosaccharomycetes; Schizosaccharomycetales; Schizosaccharomycetaceae.
AUUAACAUGGCUUCCACGGCAACUUGAUCCCGAUGGACCAAAACCCUUGAGGGACGUCGCUUUUUCGUAUUCACUUUUCGCAAAAGUGCUUCGGUACCAAUUGCUCGCCAAUCUUCUUCAUCAGUACUUUCGCCUCCGUCUAACAUUUGAUCUUCGUCAAAAACAAAAGGUGGCAAGGUACCAUAUCCAUAUUCAUGUUCAUCAAAUAAAUCAUUAUCGUCUUCUUCCUCUUCUUCUUCUUCAUAAUAAACACCAUUAUCAGGAUAUUGACCGGUAAACAGAGCAGGUGUUUGUUCCCUUGGACUCAAUACCCCUCCUAAAUGAGCUGUGUAACUGCCAGGAGUCUCUUCUAACGAUGCAAAAAAAGAGGAAAAUGGAGUAUUAAAAGAUCUGGUUUUUCUACCAGAUGACGACAAUAACUCAUCAGAUUCUUCGGCGGACAUGCCGGACGGUAUUUUCUUGGCUCGGGACCUAACAUUUUGUCCGUCGGACGGACUUUUUGAAAAACGCUCCUGAGAAUUGCUUAAGGAGGGAGUGUCGAGAGGCUCAGUCUUCGGUAUUGAAUUAGAGGGCAAACUCUGAGGAUGGCUGUUUGCGGGUAUCGUCGAGUCCCUAAGUACCCAACGCCCCCAGCCAAUUUUCUCGAAUUGGAUGCCCUUUUUUGAUUCGAGAGCACGAGUUAACAGCCUGCGUUGCUGGGUCGGCGUUAACUCGUUAAAGGAAGGCAACAUCAGGGAUAAAUGGUGCAACAGCCGGCGGAUGGGCAAGGAGCCAUAAGUCGACAGAAUUGAAGGCAAAUAUGUAUUACAGAGCUCCUUUAACACAGAUGAAUAACGAUUGUUCGUUGACGAUGGCAAAGAUGAACUGUCAUGGGAACCUAACGAAGAAGAAUAUGGGGUUUCUUCUUUGUGUGCAGUCACCGUGCUGUCAAAUGAGGUGGAUGCCCACUUGACAGACGAAAAGCCAUCGGAAGGCUCUUGUUUGACAUGAUUCAAAGUGUUAUCCUUCGACAUCAUCGCAGAUAGUUCACUUUGUAUAGGCAGAGCUUUGAUGGAAUUCGUAAAACUCGGGUUUUCUCUCUUAACAUCAACACUUUCUUUCUUCUCAGCAAAGUCAGAAGCAGUAGUCAUUUCAAGAUCCAUGUUAUCGAUAUUCAUUGUGAAGUAGAGUAAUUAAGAGAAAGACUCGAGAAAUUAAGCACAAAGAAAUUAAUAGGGAAAAAUUAGGAAAAGAAUGUAAUGGGAACUAAUUUAAAGAGGCAAACAGAAAAUAUGCUCAGAAUAGUUCGGAAGAUAUGUAGUAAAUGAAACACCAACUCCUGCGCGUCCGAUUUUUAUAUAAAAUAUACUGCAGUACAGCCGCUUAUUUGUCGAUAACACAAUAUGCCAGCCGAGCUCCUUGAACAAAACACCCUAAGGAAAUCGGCCCCAGAACACCGUAUUAAAUAAGCGGGUACACAACAAGGACAGAUAAACGUCAAUAAUUAAAUGGAGACGGAACAACCCAAUUCCGCACAAUCUGUAUCGUUAAAUCAAUCAGCCACCGUAUUUACCAAUAUGUCUCUUAGCAGCGUGACUGGACAGAUAAAUAAACAAAAUAGGAAAUUUACCUCUGCUAGCUCUGAUAAUAUUAGGCAA